This 462-nucleotide ribosomal RNA is filed under the name uncultured bacterium. RNAcentral's name for it is "partial 16S ribosomal RNA". It matches the Rfam family "Bacterial small subunit ribosomal RNA", at positions 29 to 507 of the family's 1533-position model. The record is from RNAcentral.
AACAAACGCUGGCGGCGUGCCUAAUACAUGCAAGUCGAACGGGGAAAGCUUUCGGGUGAGUACUAGUGGCGCACGGGUGAGGAACGCGUGGAUAAUCUGCCUUAGAGUGGGGGAUAACUAGUCGAAAGAUUAGCUAAUACCGCAUAAGACCACGAGAGCUGCGGCUUUUGAGGUCAAAGGUUUUUCGCUCUAAGAUGAGUCCGCGUAAGAUUAGCUAGUUGGUGAGGUAACGGCUCACCAAGGCGACGAUCUUUAACUGGUCUGAGAGGAUGAUCAGUCAAAAUGGAACUGAGACACGGUGCAGACUCCUACGGGAGGCAGCAGUAGGGAAUAAUGCAGAAAGGAGGAAACUCUGAUGCAGCGACGCCGCGUGAGGGAUGAAGGCCUUCGGGUCGUAAAGCUAUGUCGCAGGGGAAUAACACAAUGAAGGUACCCUGUAAGAAAGGAUCGGCUAACUUCGUG